AUUGAACGCUGGCGGCAGGCCUAACACAUGCAAGUCGAGCGGAUGAAGGGAGCUUGCUCCUGGAUUCAGCGGCGGACGGAUGAGUAAUGCCUAGGAAUCUGCCUGGUAGUGGGGGAUAACGUCCGGAAACGGGCGCUAAUACCGCAUACGUCCUGAGGGAGAAAGUGGGGGAUCUUCGGACCUCACGCUAUCAGAUGAGCCUAGGUCGGAUUAGCUAGUUGGUGGGGUAAAGGCCUACCAAGGCGACGAUCCGUAACUGGUCUGAGAGGAUGAUCAGUCACACUGGAACUGAGACACGGUCCAGACUCCUACGGGAGGCAGCAGUGGGGAAUAUUUGACAAAGGGCGAAAGCCUGAUCCAGCCAUGCCGCGUGUGUGAAGAAGGUCUUCGGAUUGUAAAGCACUUUAAGUUGGGAGGAAGGGCAGUAAGUUAAUACCUUGCUGUUUUGACGUUACCAACAGAAUAAGCACCGGCUAACUUCGUG
RNAcentral lists this ribosomal RNA (484 nucleotides) under uncultured bacterium. Its description in RNAcentral is "partial 16S ribosomal RNA". It matches the Rfam family "Bacterial small subunit ribosomal RNA", at positions 30 to 507 of the family's 1533-position model. The record is from RNAcentral.